GCUGUGUUAUAUACUGCAAUGAACCCAAGGGAACUAGAUCCAACUGGAAACAUAUUACCUAUUGGGUCUCCCCUCAACUCACCCUCUUUGUCCUCAGCAAGACUCUCCCCAAGUCGUAUCCCUCUUUCUCCUUCCUCUUCCCGUCUUUCACCAUGUCCAGUUACCUCAGGCUCUUCUCCCUCCCAUCUCUCACCAUUAUCCACUUCUCCUUCUCGUCUCAGUCCGUCUUCUCACUUUAUUUCAUCGUACUCUCCUGUUCGUCUGUCUCCCUGUCCCCCUUGUGACCCAUCUACCUCACCCACUAGCGUGUCCCCCUGUCCCAUACCUCUUUCCCCCUCUUUUGUCUUAAAAAAGCCCAUCCAUAUUUCCUCCUUCAGUCAGACCGGGCAAAGCUUGGAACAUCAGAACCUGAUUGAUAGUUCUCCACAAAGUAUCAUCAAUACAGUGGAUACAUCCCUAAAUUCACCACAACUGAAGUCAGUCAAGACUUCUUCUCAAUUAGACAAAACAAUUAGAGUGCUACCAACUGACGAAAACAAACCAUUACAUUCUACUGAUAUGCGUGGUAAAGCAAGGCCAGUAGAAAACAAAAUAUCUAGAUUCAUGCCCAUUUUAUCCACUGAGAGAAGCGUGAGAUCAAUCCCCAUAUCCAACACGGGGGGUCAAAAAAAGCAAACUGGCCUACAAAAAGAUCCAUUCAGACCUCCACAGCAGGAUAAACUAAAGCAAAAUUCGAACAUCUGUUGCAGGGGAGUUACCAAGUCUUCAAUGUCUGAAAGCUUAAGCCCUAAAAACCUCAGACAUGUUGAAAAAAAUGCAUUCAGACCACAAAAUUUAGCUAGCUAUCAAAAGAAGUGCCAAUCCCAAGACCCUACUCUAGUUCGAAUCCGGCUUGGAUUGAUUAAAACAGGCAGGAUUAUAAACUCUGGUGCCCAGUUUUCUAAUCUGGAGAAGAUCAAGAAAAGCAGUGAAGGGAACAACCCAAAAAUUCAGAGCGAUGGACAUCCUGCUGUUUCGGAGAAGUUAAAACAACCUGUUCGUUCAAAGAUAAUGUUAGGGGCAGCCAAGCAGAUAAUAAGUCCCACCAUGAUGUGUGAGAGGAGCUGUGGGAAACCUCAAAACCACCCACAAGUUUCAGCUGAAGGAACAAGACAACUCUCCACACAGUCAGCACUUACAAAUCCAAUCUCAU
RNAcentral lists this long non-coding RNA (1192 nucleotides) under Sinocyclocheilus grahami. RNAcentral describes it as "lncRNA (ENSSGRG00000027960.1)". Lineage: Eukaryota; Metazoa; Chordata; Actinopteri; Cypriniformes; Cyprinidae. The record is from RNAcentral.